RNAcentral lists this small RNA (197 nucleotides) under Escherichia coli MS 119-7. Its description in RNAcentral is "IS102 RNA". It matches the Rfam family "IS102 RNA". Rfam says of the family: This family consists of a group of Shigella flexneri and Escherichia coli RNA genes which are 208 bases in length and are found between the yeeP and flu genes. The function of this RNA is unknown. Lineage: Bacteria; Pseudomonadati; Pseudomonadota; Gammaproteobacteria; Enterobacterales; Enterobacteriaceae. The record is from RNAcentral.
UCGAUCGUAGCUAUUUUAUCGAUCGUUUAUAUCGAUCAACAAAGCAAUAAUCACCCUUGUAAUAACCUGCAGAAAGACACGGCCGUCCAUGAAAUUCAGGGCAGAAAAACACCACCACAGCGUUAGCGCCUCACAGGGGCGCGGAAUAACACACAUGCCGGUAUCCACACACUGUGGGUACCGGCUUUUUAUUUACA